AAUAGAUACCCAGGUAGUCCACGCCGUAAACGAUGAGUGCUAAGUGUUGGGGGGUUUCCGCUCCUCAGUGCUGCAGCUAACGCAUUAAGCACUCCGCCUGGGGAGUACGGUCGCAAGACUGAAACUCAAAGGAAUUGACGGGGGCCCGCACAAGCGGUGGAGCAUGUGGUUUAAUUCGAAGCAACGCGAAGAACCUUACCAGGUCUUGACAUCCCGGUGACCACUAUGGAGACAUAGUUUCCCCUUCGGGGGCAACGGUGACAGGUGGUGCAUGGUUGUCGUCAGCUCGUGUCGUGAGAUGUUGGGUUAAGUCCCGCAACGAGCGCAACCCUUAUUCUUAGUUGCCAUCAUUCAGUUGGGCACUCUAAGGAGACUGCCGGUGAUAAACCGGAGGAAGGUGGGGAUGACGUCAAAUCAUCAUGCCCCUUAUGACCUGGGCUACACACGUGCUACAAUGGACGGUACAAACGGUUGCCAACCCGGCGAGGGGGGAGCUAAAUCCGGAUAAAAACCCGUUCUCAGUUCGGAUUGUAGGCUGCAACUCGCCUAC
Molecule: ribosomal RNA, 550 nt
Filed under: uncultured bacterium
Lineage: Bacteria
Description: bacterial SSU rRNA
Rfam family: Bacterial small subunit ribosomal RNA
Source: RNAcentral